RNAcentral lists this ribosomal RNA (253 nucleotides) under uncultured bacterium. RNAcentral's name for it is "partial 16S ribosomal RNA". It matches the Rfam family "Bacterial small subunit ribosomal RNA", at positions 524 to 776 of the family's 1533-position model. The record is from RNAcentral.
UACAGAGGUCUCAAGCGUUGUUCGGAUUCAUUGGGCGUAAAGGGUGCGUAGGCGGCGCGGUAAGUCGGGUGUGAAAUCUUGGAGCUUAACUCCGAAACUGCAUUCGAUACUGCCGUGCUUGAGGACUGGAGAGGAGACUGGAAUUUACGGUGUAGCGGUGAAAUGCGUAGAUAUCGUAAGGAAGACCAGUGGCGAAGGCGGUUCUCUGGGCCUGACCUGACGCUGAGGAGCGAAAGCGUGGGGAGCGAACAGG